GGUUGGGGCUCAGUGGCAGAGCACUUGCAUAGCAUGCAUGAGGCACUGGGUUCGAUUCCCAGAAUCA
Molecule: transfer RNA, 67 nt
Filed under: Ictidomys tridecemlineatus (thirteen-lined ground squirrel)
Lineage: Eukaryota; Metazoa; Chordata; Mammalia; Rodentia; Sciuridae
Description: Spermophilus tridecemlineatus (thirteen-lined ground squirrel) tRNA
Rfam family: tRNA
About the family: Transfer RNA (tRNA) molecules are approximately 80 nucleotides in length. Their secondary structure includes four short double-helical elements and three loops (D, anti-codon, and T loops).
Source: Rfam by way of RNAcentral